Long non-coding RNA from Rhipicephalus microplus (southern cattle tick), 288 nucleotides. The record is from RefSeq and is a predicted model, not a curated record. NCBI's taxonomy places the organism in Eukaryota, Metazoa, Arthropoda, Arachnida, Ixodida, Ixodidae.
UGACAGAAGUACACAGAGGAGAUACAGCGUCCCCAAAGGGACCUGGCAGCAACCAGAGACAGGAAUAGAAUUUUCGUGGACCAGGAGCACUAUAGAAGUACACAGAGGAGAUACAGCGUCCCCAAAGGGACCUGGUAGCAACCAGAGACAGGAAUAGAAUUUUCGUGGACCAGGAGCACUAUAGAAUGAUGGAAGUGAGGCUGACCAGCCAAUCACAAGACAUCCUAGAAAAAGAAGCACAAGUAGAGUCCCUGAACGCAAAGAUUUCCACCAUGACAGAACUUUUUG